CCUACGGGAGGCAGCAGUGGGGAAUAUUGGACAAUGGGGGGAACCCUGAUCCAGCGACGCCGCGUGAGUGAAGAAGUAUUUCGGUAUGUAAAGCUCUAUCAGCAGGGAAGCAAAAAAUGACGGUACCUGACGAAGACACCCCGGGUAAAUACGUGCCAUCAGCCGCGGUAAUACGUGGGGGGCAAGUGUUAUCCGGAUUUUCUGGGUAGAAAGGGGGCGUAGACGGCGAUGCAAGUCUGAAGAGAAAGGCGGGGGCCCAACCCCUGGACUGUUUUUGAAACUGUAUGGCUGGAGGGCAGGAGAGGUAAGUGGAAUUCCUAGUGUAGCGGUGAAAUGCGUAGAUAUUAGGAGGAACACCAGUGGCGAAGGCGGCUUACUGGACUGUAACUGACGUUGAGGCUCGAAAGCGUGGGGAGCAAACAGGAUUAGAUACCCGAGUAGUC
Molecule: ribosomal RNA, 443 nt
Filed under: uncultured bacterium
Lineage: Bacteria
Description: partial 16S ribosomal RNA
Rfam family: Bacterial small subunit ribosomal RNA
Source: RNAcentral